AGAUUAGCAUUCUCAUCUGGCUCUCCUUGUAUCAAAGAAUGGUACAUUCCCUCAUACAACUUCAAGCUCUUAUCCUCACUUGAAGCCUUCUCAUACAACAACUGGGAUGAUGUAGGGCACGUGACACCAUCCGAGGUGCCAUGGACUGUCAAAAACGGCGCCGUAACUCUGGAGAAAUUAUCUUGUAUAUGUUGGCACACCCUAGCAAGUUCUCUCAUGGUCCCCACCCUAGGCUUGCCUGUGUAUCUUCUAGGGUUUGAUGCUAUGAUCUUCAGCUUUUCUGGGUCCUUGAUCGUUUUCCCUACCAUUUUAUUGUCUGGCAUCGCUGCCCACGUGUCAGCCCAUCCAAAGAGUAGCCCAUACAUGAAUAGGUGUAACUUACUGGGUUUCAUUGGUUCUGGGAUGACAAAAAGUGGGGCCGAGAAAAUCAAGCCCGUCCACGUGUUGGGUUCCGAUUGGAAGUACAUUAGCAUUG
This 475-nucleotide unclassified non-coding RNA is filed under the name Hevea brasiliensis (rubber tree). The record is from RNAcentral. Lineage: Eukaryota; Viridiplantae; Streptophyta; Magnoliopsida; Malpighiales; Euphorbiaceae.